RNAcentral lists this ribosomal RNA (202 nucleotides) under uncultured bacterium. Its description in RNAcentral is "partial 16S ribosomal RNA". It matches the Rfam family "Bacterial small subunit ribosomal RNA", at positions 1300 to 1500 of the family's 1533-position model. The record is from RNAcentral.
GCAGGCGUGCAACCCGCCCUGCAUGAAGUCGGAAUUGCUAGUAAUCGCGGAUCAGCAUGCCGCGGUGAAUACGUUCCCGGGCCUUGUACACACCGCCCGUCACACCAUGGGAGCCGGUAAUACCCGAAGUCAGUAGUCCAGCCACGUGAGGACGCUGCCGAAGGUAGGAUUGGCGACUGGGGUGAAGUCGUAACAAGGUACC